CAUGUGGUUGGUGAGAAUUGAACUCAGGACCUCUGGAAGUGCUCUUAACCACUGAGCCAUUUCUCCAGCCUAUGGAUAAGGUUUUUUAAGUUCUAAGAAGGGAGCAUAGGUCCCUUCAGUCUAGCUUACUGUGCUUCAGUUCAGACAGAUCUUGGGGAUGCAGCUUUGCCCUCUCACGAGGUAGGCUCAGCCUUGAUUCUCAGUAAGUGUGCAGGGACACCAAGCUCCUUUUCACCUCCCUUCCUACUCUGGUUCUCAUUAGUGCUUGCUUUUUCACAGUCAGUUGAGUCACUCCCCUGGAGGCUGUUUGGGACUGCCAGAUGACUGUUCAAAAUGUCAUUUUUUUCCUGGACAAGAUGGACUCAAGUGACAGAGGCAUGGGGUGUGAGAGUGUCAAAAAAGCCAACACCACCAUGUUAACAAACUAGAUUAUUUCUGUCAAGAAUCGCAGUAUCCUUGCCUAACAGUUGUGUGUAUUCUCUGAAUCCAGACUCUGGUUAAAGAACCCAAUCUGAAGGAACAUCCUGAUACAUAGCCAUAUGCUGUUACUGACCUAUGGUUACACCCUGUUUCAUGACCUGCUGUUAGUCUGACCCCCUGAGCUUGGCCAGUGGCACCAACUGGACAUCUUUAGACAUCAGACUGUUUUUGUCUAUGCUGCCAGCAGGCUCAGCCACCAUGAAGUUCCAGAAAGCAAAGAUCACACAAUAAGAGAGCCAAGCAUGAUGGUCAACAGCUUAACAGAGCUCCAGGAUGAAGCAUCGCACUGGGAAAACAUUCUGAGGUAAGAGAACACAAGAGCCAUGAGAACAGCUGCUGUGGGUCACAGUGGGAAGGCCAAGUAGGAACCAAGAACAACACCAAAAGCAAGCCUCGGGGUAUUCUCACAGUGCACAAACAGCACCAGAAUACACCCUGAAGCUGACAGGAACCUGAGUCUUGUCUCAUCUCAAUACUUUGGGAUAACUAAUUUUGCAUAAAAAUAAACAAAAAUAGUGGCAAGGUCACAUCCAGAAGUAGAUCAAGGAGCAGGAUAGCACAUCAGUGGAAAGAACCCAGGAAACUGCAGGUCACGAUUGUAAACAGCACAAGUAUCUAAGAUUAGAAAUGGGUUGUUACGAAGGCACAGCAGGUAAAACCGAGUGGCCUGUGGUGGUUCCAUGUGUGCUACGUCUACAACAGAAUCAAGAGCGAUUCUAUUUUGAGGAACAGAAAACAUCUCCAAAGCAUUGAAGGCACAAGCAUAGUAUCUGAAAGUAAAAAAGAAGAUUUGAAAGUAAAAUAGAAAACCUGAGUCUUCUUUUAAAGAUUAAAAGAUGCAUUGAAAUGUGCACUUUGGUCUUUAUGUGGGUCCUGAACAACAGGACUGAGGCUCUCCCAAAAGCUGUUGCCUGUACGUGGGAUAUGUUCUACUAGCAGGGCUGCCUUGUCCGGCCUCAAUGAGAGAGGAAGCACCUUGCCUCAGAGACUUUAAGUGUGGGGGAGGGGGGAGGCUACUCAGGGGGGACCCCACCUGCUCAGAUGAGAAAGGGAAGAGGGGCAAGGAUUGUGGGAGGGGUUGACCAGGAGGGGGGCAGUAAGCAGCAGGAUGUAAAGUGAAUAAAUAAAAUUUUUUUAAAAAGAUAACAUUGAAGAAAGGUAAAAGACAGGAAUAUGUAAAACCAAGGCAAGCAAAAGAAAUGUUAAACAUUUCUCAAAUACAUUUUACUGAAAUUGUAAGAGAAAUAUUUUAAACGAAUACUACUAACCUUACCCUCCAAGGUCUAGUCUAGUAAAAUCACUGAAGAAAUAGAAGCAAAACUUGUGGCCAUUUACUUGAAAGAAACACUUGAUAGCCAGGGAGGUAUAAGAGCAUAUGAUUUUUAAACGAUGCUUUCUACCACAUGAAACACAGUGGUAUAGUUACGAUUUCCAAAGAAAGUCAGACAAGGAUUUUCUACCUAGAAAAAUUCAGUUUCAAGAGCAUAAAGUUGCUACUGAUUAAAAGGAUGCUCUUCCAAUGAGCCCCACUUUAAGGAUAAAGUACAGAACACACAUACUAAAUACCAUAACAACACCUACAUAAGAAAUGAUUGAACCAGGCCUGGCAGAGCAUAUCUGUAAGGAGGCUGAGAGGAGGGGGGUCACAAGUUUGAAAGCCAGCCACAGCUCGCUCUCUCUCUCUCUCUCUCUCUCUCUCUCUCUCUCUCUCUCUCUCUCACACACACACACACACACACACACACCCCUGAUGGUUAAUGUAUAAACUUCCCACCACUACAAGGAAAUAACCAAGGCACUAAGCUUAUGAAAGGUUUAUUUUGGCUCAGGGUUCCGGAAGUUCUACUCCACCAUUUGGAAAUCUCAUUAGGAUUCUGACAGGGGCUAUACAUCUUCUUAAAAGUAUGUAAGAGAGCAAGCAAACUUCACCCCAAAGCCAAGCAGAGACAUAGGACUCCAUAGUUCCCGUCAGGGCACACCUCCACUAGGUUCUACCCUUACCCCAAAGCAUCAUCCUGAGUACCAGUGUCUGGGGAGGAUACUCAUAUAAAUCAUAGACCUUGAAAAUGAAAUAUUUAAUUAGUUAUAUAAGUCAGAACUUGAUGAAGGAGAAACUGUGCUAUAUGCCCUCACAAAAAUGAAAAUGCUGUACUGAUUUUACAAUGGAUAUACAAAUUUUUAAUGUUUUCAGCAUCAUAUUGGUGUUUUCUAUCUGGUAUAUAAUACAUGCAAUUGAGCAAGUGUGUUCAUGUGGGAUAUUUGGGCUUUGUCCAUAUUUAUUAUCUCUAUCUACCAAAGACACUUACAGAAAUGAUCAGCUAAGGGGGAGUCCCUAGCACCCACACUUUGAAGUCCUCAUUAAAUGGCAGCACAGCUUAUGGCCAUAAUGCUGACUCGAGGUGUGGAACAAGAAGUGACAGAUAGAUAGAUGAUCCUUCAAGGUCUGGUUUCAGAAAGAAGCUACUGUAUGUGACGAGGCUUUGUCAAGGGUGCCAAGACACCAAACAGAAGUGGGACAGUUUGAGCUCCUCCACAAUAACUACAAUGAAUUAAAACUUGCUCUUGAGCUUCAACCCAGGAUUUCAACAUGAGAUUUAAGCCUAGAUUGGUCACCUUGUCAUACCGAGAGAGAAUCUUGUCAUUUGGUAAGGAAAGGGAAAAAAUUCAGUUCAUCCUACCCUUGUGUGUACUAGAGACCAAUGGCUGAUGAAGGAGAGCAACUACUGAUGGACAAGGGAGUGAGAGUCUUAGCAAGACUCCACAUGAAUCUGUAACAGCUGACAUCACUCUGCCAAUCCGCCCGAGUCCGUGGGAUUGUCGAGAGGCCGCCAGAGCAGCACCAGAGGGUUUUGGGUGUAUUUUUUUCUAUGAAGUCACAACAAGUGGAGCUCAGCAAUUCUGUAAAGCAAACCAAUACAUGUGUGUUGUUAGCAAAGAAUCCACCAUGAGACCUUUCACGUGUUUCCUUUAGCAAAACAUCCUUUCACCUGUGUCUACUCCAGAAAAACACUUUUGAUAUGACUUUCCAAAAAAACCCAGAAGUUUCCACUUCAGUAUCUUUUUUUCUAAGUUUAGAUUUUAAAAACAAUGACAAAGGCCAAAAUUUAGUUAUUUGGCAUUUUGCUAUAUUUCCCUAUUAUCUGCACUCUCUUGUUGUUUUUUGUUUUUGUUUGUUUGUUUGCUUGCUUUGGAGAUGUCUCACUAAGUAGCUUUGUCUGAUCUGGAACAUUCUGUGUAGACCAGGCUGGCCUCAAACUCACAGAGAUCCAUUUGCAUUUUCCUCUCCAGUGCUGGGAUCAAAGGCAUUUGACACCUUACUCAGACCACACAACAUCUAUAAUUCAAGGGCAUAUUGUAUGUGGUGGAAUCCCUCAGCAUUGUGUGUGCCCCACAUGGUUCUCCUAAUCUGUGUGCUGUGAGAGACAUCCCAGUAGUUUGACACUGACUGUGAUGGUAUUUAGACUAACCUGUAUUAAUCAUGGAGUGUUUGGUUGAUUUGUCAAAACAGUCACUGGAAAAAGUCUUGAGACUGAUGAGAGCUGAAACUGUACCUGUCUGGAUCCCACUGUAAGCAGCACAAAACUGACAAAAUAUCCUCCCAGUACUCAGACAGCGAUGCUCAUUCAGCAGAGGAAGACAGAUCACCCUAGAGUGAGCAGCUGACACAUGCCUUAACUGUCCUCCUUUGUUUUCUUGUUGAUGCAAAUGUAGUAACUGCCGGCUUGCUUGCCAGAUUAUACUCAUUAAUCAGUUGUAAAUGUGGGAUGGCUGCAGGUACAAGAACUUUUGGGAAAAUUCAACAAAAACCCUGAGAAAUUAUGUGAAAUUUGCCAUAAAGUGUUAUAAAUAAAAUGUAUCACUAAAUUAA
Molecule: long non-coding RNA, 4348 nt
Organism: Mus musculus (house mouse)
Lineage: Eukaryota; Metazoa; Chordata; Mammalia; Rodentia; Muridae
Product: predicted gene, 41662
Exons: 2
Source: RefSeq, a predicted model, not a curated record